CAUAAGCUCUCGGCAAGAAGAUCAGGUGAGGUGCUUAAUACAUAUGUGCUGGAUAAUGGUUGAAGUCCUUGCCACCAUCUCCCUCAGCCCACUCAGCACAAAGCUCCACCACACAGUGGGUACUCCCUUGUCACAAUGGCAUGCCAUGUGUAUUGGCCACAAUUCAGAGGCAUACUAAGAAACGGUUUGUGUCUUGGGUAGGAUUCCCCCGACAUACCUCCUGAGAUGGGGACUCUUUCGAGUGAUUUAUUGGGGAAGAGCUCUCAGGACACUGACAUUUGGAAAGGCUGAGGAAUGCAGGAUAGACUAUGGAGGGAGGUGAAGAGGCCCUAAGCAAAAUGCCAUCUUGGUCUAAUCCAUGGAGAAACUCUGAGGCACAAUGUGUAUUAUGAUGCUAGCCCAGCCUGAGCAAGGGGCUUGCUGCUUUGUGUGUGACACCCACAUGGGCCUAUGGUGUGCUCCAUUAUGCCAGAGGACGUUGGAGACUUGGCAUUUCAUGGAAAGAUCCAUCAGGUUUCAUUGUGGAAAGUGGACUCAAUGCGGACAGUGUGGAUUGGGAAGAGCAUAGUGCUACAGCAUCUAGACAGAAGGUGAAGGCAGCUUAGGCUAAGCGAAGGAGAGAGUGCAAAGUUGGAGAUUUAUUUCAAAUAUGGAGAUACGGUAUGGAAUUUGGAAACUGGGUCUCUGGAUGUUGCCCAGGCCUGGAACUCCUGCGUUCAAGCGUCCCUCCUCCUUCGGCCUCCCACGUAGCUGGGACUACAGGCAAAUUAAUUACCAGAAAAAUAUCCUGCCUCCUAGCUCCAUGUCUACUGCCGGAUGGUACCUGUCAAAAAGAUAAGAUCUUUCAAUGAAUUAAAGAAGGUGAAAGGCC
Non-coding RNA from Ictidomys tridecemlineatus (thirteen-lined ground squirrel), 871 nucleotides. The record is from RefSeq and is a predicted model, not a curated record. NCBI's taxonomy places the organism in Eukaryota, Metazoa, Chordata, Mammalia, Rodentia, Sciuridae.